GAUGAACGCUGGCGGCGUGCCUAAUACAUGCAAGUCGAGCGAACGGACGAGAAGCUUGCUUCUCUGAUGUUAGCGGCGGACGGGUGAGUAACACGUGGAUAACCUACCUAUAAGACUGGGAUAACUUCGGGAAACCGGAGCUAAUACCGGAUAAUAUUUUGAACCGCAUGGUUCAAAAGUGAAAGACGGUCUUGCUGUCACUUAUAGAUGGAUCCUCGCUGCAUUAGCUAGUUGGUAAGGUAACGGCUUACCAAGGCAACGAUGCAUAGCCGACCUGAGAGGGUGAUCGGCCACACUGGAGCUGAGACACGGUCCAGACUCCUACGGGAGGCAGCAGUAGGGAAUCUUCCGCAAUGGGCGAAAGCCUGACGGAGCAACGCCGCGUGAGUGAUGAAGGUCUUCGGAUCGUAAAACUCUGUUAUUAGUGAAGAACAUAUGUGUAAGUAACUGUGCACAUCUUGACGGUACCUAAUCAGAAAGCCACGGCUAACUACGUG
RNAcentral lists this ribosomal RNA (497 nucleotides) under uncultured bacterium. RNAcentral describes it as "partial 16S ribosomal RNA". It matches the Rfam family "Bacterial small subunit ribosomal RNA", at positions 28 to 507 of the family's 1533-position model. The record is from RNAcentral.